ACCGGGAGAGGUUAGAGGUACUCCCAGGGUAGAGGUGAAAUUCUGUAAUCCUGGGAGGACCGCCUGUUGCGAAGGCGUCUAACUGGAACGGUUCUGACGGUGAGGGACGAAAGUUAGGGGCGCGAACCGGAUUAGAUACCCGGGUAGUCCUAACUGUAAACGAUGCGGACUUGGUGUUGGGGUGGCUUUGAGCUGCUCCAGUGCCGAAGGGAAGCUGUUAAGUCCGCCGCCUGGG
RNAcentral lists this ribosomal RNA (235 nucleotides) under uncultured archaeon. RNAcentral's name for it is "partial 16S ribosomal RNA". It matches the Rfam family "Archaeal small subunit ribosomal RNA", at positions 598 to 832 of the family's 1478-position model. The record is from RNAcentral.